GGCGGCCUUAGCGCGGUGGUCCCACCUGACCCCAUGCCGAACUCAGAAGUGAAACGCCGUAGCGCCGAUGGUAGUGUGGGGUCUCCCCAUGUGAGAGUAGGGAACUGCCAGGC
RNAcentral lists this ribosomal RNA (113 nucleotides) under Escherichia coli 3-475-03_S3_C2. The record is from RNAcentral. Lineage: Bacteria; Pseudomonadati; Pseudomonadota; Gammaproteobacteria; Enterobacterales; Enterobacteriaceae.